This is a long non-coding RNA of Daphnia magna, 3843 nucleotides long. RefSeq lists it as uncharacterized. The transcript has 13 exons. The record is from RefSeq and is a predicted model, not a curated record. NCBI's taxonomy places the organism in Eukaryota, Metazoa, Arthropoda, Branchiopoda, Diplostraca, Daphniidae.
CAUUUAGAUAUACCUAAAUCGACACUGUCAUGCAUAACAACGUAUCGUUGUUACUGGUAACGUGUGAAGUCUUUUCUUAAAGUAUUUAUGAACUGUAUACUCAUCUCUGGAUGAUGUCAAAUCCGACUAAGAAGUGAUGUCAGGUUCGUCACGUUGUUUGUGACAUUAUUCACCGACUUAGCCUUCCCAAAACGCAUCCCAUUGAAAAUCCGAGAAUGGUUUUGAGAAUGCAAUCUGGGAUAUAUAUAUAUAUAUUAAAUCUGCAAUCUAAUUUGGAAUACCCAGAGUUAUGUGCUUUUCAGAAGUGCACAUUGAAUGUUCUUAGCCUACUAAAAGAAUGGGAAAUGUUUGACUGGAGUUUCCCGGAGUAUCAGCAAAGAUUUUCGUUCAUUGCUAGUGGAUUGAAAGGGAGGUCUUUCUGUCAUUGUGCUCAAAAUUAUGGUAUUUUGGCUGACCAAGAAAUAGUCCAUAUGAUUUGCACUGGUGAUAGUGCUAAAAUGAUAUUUCUUAUAAUGAUGGUGGUGUGCACUUCCAUUUUAACUUGGCAGUAUGCCUCAAGAUGUUUGUGCUGCUGACUACAUCAAAAUGGAUUUUUUGGGAGAUCCAAUUACAACACUGCUAGAAGAAUAUGAUAUACAUGCUAGAGAUGCCCACUACUUCCAUUAAGACAAACAGUUGUAGUUUAGAAACUAGAGCUGUAAACUUAGCUCAUCGCCGAGUCAUAAAAAGCCGAAAAUGUUUGUUGACCACUGCCUUUAAUAUGGCAGCCGUUGCAUGGAAUUAGUCAGCUCAAUUAUUUCCUUUCUGUUUGAAGAUCCGUGCAAGCGCCUGAAUUUAAAGUUACAUAUGGACUGACAAAGACAAAAAAAUAAACAGCGCCCGACCCGACAUGUUAAACUGGCUCGCAACCACCUCUACGUUUACAUCAGUGGCGAAACUUGCUCCAACAAAGCGACGUACGCGCCUCCUCGUAUUGCUAGACGUUUGAGGACGUUUUUCACUACCGGUUGAUCAAUUACAGUACGUGAACCUCCAGGACAACGACAGAAAAAUCGUGAACUAUGAAUCGGAUACUGCCGAGGAAUCGUGUUGAAACCGGCAAAAUCAUUUCUGCCAUCGGUGCUGUUGCGGGGAGGAGAAAGGAAUUUUCCGACCAUGGCGUCCAAAAUGCGGUUCAAUCAGUGCCUCAACGAUGUGACUGUUUGGAAAACAACCAUCACAUACCUGCUGCCUUUCAAUUCUUUCGCCUUUCAACUAAACCAGAAAAAUACUAGUUUUCGUCAUCCUGUCACAUCUCAAAUUCUAUGGUUUAUAAUUCCUGUUCUAUGACCCAGUUCUUUUACAGACAGUGGCUUCUCAUUUCAUCUUCAUUCCAGUAAUCAGAUUUGAUGUUUCGAAUUGUUUUAGGUUGUUAAAGCAAGUUUGACUUUCUACGAUGCUUCCACCAACGUGCAUGGUCGCCAAACUUUGUUGUUGUGUCGGACUGUUAAUCUGGGAGAAAAACGUCGAAUUAUUUGGCGAUAUGUUUGUCAAAGUUACAGAUAGAACGGCUAACGAUUUAAAUCUCACUUGGGAUAAUCUAUUUCUCGGACAAGGUACUUUGAGACCGGAUUUAAUUGUCCGCUUCGCAUAGGGCUUUUCGCGCUGAUCAUUAAAAAAAAGACUCAUCAUAACGAUUCCGAAAUGGUUCGUCAGUUGCGCCCUCACGGUCGUGUAGUAGAACCUUUUAAAGACUUCCAUAAAGAUGAAGUAAGAUCCUUAGGUCUCGAGCUGGGUCUGCUUGCAGAAUUACUGGAACGUCAUCCGUUUCCUGGUCCUGGUUUGUCCAUUUGAAUCAUUUGCGCCGAAGAACCGUUCAUGGAAGCUGAUUUCGGUGAGACGCAAGUGCUGAUUCGUUUGAUGGUCGAUUAUGCCAACAUGGCAACCAAGGAAAAUGCCUUGCUCAAUCGGAUUGAAAUCGCGACGUCGGAAGAAGAGCGUCUUCUUCUGGAAGAACUGUCCAGUCACAACCAGUAUGUUGCCACGCUACUGCCUAUUCAACCUGUCGGUGUUCAGGGAGAUUGCCAAAACUUAUAGCUAUUGCGUAGUACUGAAUUCUGAUAAGACAAUCAAACUGGAAUUAUCUAGCUACCUAGGCCUGCUUAGUACCACGUGUGUGCCAUAAUGUCAACCGUGUUUGCUACAUAUUCGGAAAGGGUGUGCGUGAAUCGGUGACAGACGUUCCACCUACCUACUUAAUGAGUAACAUUUUGGCGACUUUGAGGGAAGCGGAUUAUUUGGCAAAUAAAAUAUUACGGGAUUCGGAAUAAGAAGAAAGUAAAAGAAGCUAGCCCAGAUGCCAAUCGUCUUGAUCCCUCUUCCCUUUGAUCACGAUUCGAGUCAACGCAUUCCAUCAUACCAGCGAUGAGUCAUUUUUCGGAACUCCUGCAAUUCCUGAUACUCAUCUGCCCCAAGAGUUACGUAAAAAGUGGUACAUUUUAAAAACUGAUCUUGGUGUAAACAUUGAUACUGCUUAUUAGGUUGAAGACAAGAUGUUUGAAGCCGUCUUAACUGUUCCAGGAAUUUCCAGGGUCUUGUAUGACCUGACGGCAAAACCACCCGGGACAACGGAGUGGGGAUGAUUUUCGAUUUAAGUACUGUCAUAUUUCGGUUGCAGGUUUUCACUGAAUACGAAGUAAGUAAUGUGUUUAAUCGUGUUAAAUGUAUGAUUUUUCGAUUCAACUCUAUUUAGGUGUUAGAACUGAAAUUGUAAUUUUAGAUCUUUUAAAACACCGCCUAGCUUUUAUUAACAAUGGUUUACUUUCAAAAUCACUCAAAACUACUUCAAAACUAUCAAAAUCUUGUUAACCAUUUAAAGGAGAACAAAGCUCAUUUUGUAGAUUUCAUAAAUUUCAACUUCUGGUUUUACUUCCAGUUUUAAAAUGCCAAAUAACUCCUUAUUUAUUGGUCUCUCAGAAAAAAAAAUUACAUUUUUGUGAUCCUCGUCAAAUUUGGGGUCGACUCCGUGUAUCAGAUCAAAAUAUCCGAAAAUCAUCAAAAAUCGCAAAUUUUCCUGAACUAUUCAUUAAAUUUUAUAAUAUAUUUUUUGUUCUUGAAAAUUAUUUCUACUACGUCAAGCCAGAAAAUAUGCUAAGACGUACUUCAUGCAAUUUCAUUCACGUUAAGUUCAUGAAAAAUCGCGAUUUUGGUCAAAUCCGACUUUUGGCUAAAAAUACGUCAUUAAGUCUUAACCCAAAUUUGAUAAGGAUCAAGAAAAUUCUACUCGUUUUGUUAUGGGAUUACUAUUUCCGGAGAUAUUGGUUACUUCCGGCUACUUCCGGAAAAUUUUCCUGACAAGCUGUAAAAAGUAAAAAAUGAGCUGUAUUAUUCUAAAAAUUUCAAAUACUUUUUUUGCAUGCGUUAGGGUGUGCAGCUCUUAUUCUGUGGUUUUUUCACUAUCAACAGUACAGGCUGACCCUUCGAGCAACUACAGUUUUAAUCUACAAAUGUUUUAGCGCCUCGUCUUGCAACCAGUAGUUGGUAUUCUAGGUUUUUAAGUUUAAAAUUUGAAUUAUUGGAAGUUUAAUCAAUCAAUUAUUAUUAUUUGGAAUUAGUAAAAUUCAAGUACUUAAAAGCAAGAAUUGUACUGAUUUCAAAGUAAAAUCUAUUUUCUUUGGGUUUCAGGAGGAAAACUAGAUGGCGUUGAUGUGCGUUUUGAUAAGUAUUACGAGUGGCAAGUUAAAUCGGUGUUAGUUAAGUUUCUACCCUGUUUAGUGUUUCAAAGGAUUUUUAUUCAAAUAUUAACAGUGUUGUUCAGUAUUGUUAUCGUUGGGUAUGUAUUGAAAAUAAAAUUCUUAAAAUAUA